UCAAUAGCCUAACGGCUGAACCAGCAACUUGGAGGAAUGUAUAGCUACGGCUAAUUGUGUAUAAUUACACGAUAUCGACUCUGUCGAAUAAAAUUCUGGGUAAAUUUUGAUGAUGACAUUUUUUACCUAUGUGUCUUGACCAAAUUGUGUGCCAGCAGUCGCGGUAAUACAUAGAAGACUAGUGUUAUUCAUCUUUAAUAGGUUUAAAGGGUACCUAGACGGUAGAUCAAGCCCUAGACGGGACUAAUUUGCUAGAGUUACUUAUGAGGGGGCUUUAAAGUACUAAUGGUGUAGAGAUAAAAUUUUGUAAUACCAUUUUUCGUAAAGAAAAAUUAUGGCACUGGUAAAGGUGAAAGCAUCCCCCUAUGUGAUAACUGACGUUGAAGGACGAAGGCUUUGGGUCGCGAAUAGGAUUAGAUACCCUAGUAGUCAAAGCAGAAAAUUAUGAGUGUCAUAGAUUAGAUAAUACAGUUUAUUCUAUAAAUGAAAGUGUAAGCACUCCACCUCAAGAGUAAUUUGGCAACAUUGGAACUGAAAUCAUUAGACCGUUUCUGAAACCAGUAGUGAAGUAUGUUGUUUAAUUCGAUGAUCCGCGAAAAACCUUACCACAAUUUGAAUAUGUAUAUUUUUUGAUAUAUUUACAAGCGUUGCACGGCUGUCUUCAGUUAAUGUCGUGAGACUUUGGUUAGAUCCAUUAAAUUAACGUAAGCCCUUACUUUAUUUUCAUAUAAAGUAGUUCUCCACCAUAUUGGACAAGAUAACAGGGACUAAGACAAGUCAUCAUGGCCUGAAUAUUGUGGG
RNAcentral lists this ribosomal RNA (801 nucleotides) under Ramalina fraxinea. RNAcentral describes it as "SSU rRNA". It matches the Rfam family "Bacterial small subunit ribosomal RNA", at positions 368 to 1213 of the family's 1533-position model. The record is from RNAcentral. Lineage: Eukaryota; Fungi; Ascomycota; Lecanoromycetes; Lecanorales; Ramalinaceae.